Molecule: ribosomal RNA, 2903 nt
Filed under: Escherichia coli B26-1
Lineage: Bacteria; Pseudomonadati; Pseudomonadota; Gammaproteobacteria; Enterobacterales; Enterobacteriaceae
Description: bacterial LSU rRNA
Rfam family: Bacterial large subunit ribosomal RNA
Source: RNAcentral
UUAAGCGACUAAGCGUACACGGUGGAUGCCCUGGCAGUCAGAGGCGAUGAAGGACGUGCUAAUCUGCGAUAAGCGUCGGUAAGGUGAUAUGAACCGUUAUAACCGGCGAUUUCCGAAUGGGGAAACCCAGUGUGAUUCGUCACACUAUCAUUAACUGAAUCCAUAGGUUAAUGAGGCGAACCGGGGGAACUGAAACAUCUAAGUACCCCGAGGAAAAGAAAUCAACCGAGAUUCCCCCAGUAGCGGCGAGCGAACGGGGAGGAGCCCAGAGCCUGAAUCAGUGUGUGUGUUAGUGGAAGCGUCUGGAAAGGCGCGCGAUACAGGGUGACAGCCCCGUACACAAAAAUGCACAUACUGUGAGCUCGAUGAGUAGGGCGGGACACGUGGUAUCCUGUCUGAAUAUGGGGGGACCAUCCUCCAAGGCUAAAUACUCCUGACUGACCGAUAGUGAACCAGUACCGUGAGGGAAAGGCGAAAAGGACCCCGGCGAGGGGAGUGAAAAAGAACCUGAAACCGUGUACGUACAAGCAGUGGGAGCCUCUUUUAUGGGGUGACUGCGUACCUUUUGUAUAAUGGGUCAGCGACUUAUAUUCUGUAGCAAGGUUAACCGAAUAGGGGAGCCGAAGGGAAACCGAGUCUUAACCGGGCGUUAAGUUGCAGGGUAUAGACCCGAAACCCGGUGAUCUAGCCAUGGGCAGGUUGAAGGUUGGGUAACACUAACUGGAGGACCGAACCGACUAAUGUUGAAAAAUUAGCGGAUGACUUGUGGCUGGGGGUGAAAGGCCAAUCAAACCGGGAGAUAGCUGGUUCUCCCCGAAAGCUAUUUAGGUAGCGCCUCGUGAAUUCAUCUCCGGGGGUAGAGCACUGUUUUCGGCAAGGGGGUCAUCCCGACUUACCAACCCGAUGCAAACUGCGAAUACCGGAGAAUGUUAUCACGGGAGACACACGGCGGGUGCUAACGUCCGUCGUGAAGAGGGAAACAACCCAGACCGCCAGCUAAGGUCCCAAAGUCAUGGUUAAGUGGGAAACGAUGUGGGAAGGCCCAGACAGCCAGGAUGUUGGCUUAGAAGCAGCCAUCAUUUAAAGAAAGCGUAAUAGCUCACUGGUCGAGUCGGCCUGCGCGGAAGAUGUAACGGGGCUAAACCAUGCACCGAAGCUGCGGCAGCGACACUGUGUGUUGUUGGGUAGGGGAGCGUUCUGUAAGCCUGUGAAGGUGUACUGUGAGGUAUGCUGGAGGUAUCAGAAGUGCGAAUGCUGACAUAAGUAACGAUAAAGCGGGUGAAAAGCCCGCUCGCCGGAAGACCAAGGGUUCCUGUCCAACGUUAAUCGGGGCAGGGUGAGUCGACCCCUAAGGCGAGGCCGAAAGGCGUAGUCGAUGGGAAACAGGUUAAUAUUCCUGUACUUGGUGUUACUGCGAAGGGGGGACGGAGAAGGCUAUGUUGGCCGGGCGACGGUUGUCCCGGUUUAAGCGUGUAGGCUGGUUUUCCAGGCAAAUCCGGAAAAUCAAGGCUGAGGCGUGAUGACGAGGCACUACGGUGCUGAAGCAACAAAUGCCCUGCUUCCAGGAAAAGCCUCUAAGCAUCAGGUAACAUCAAAUCGUACCCCAAACCGACACAGGUGGUCAGGUAGAGAAUACCAAGGCGCUUGAGAGAACUCGGGUGAAGGAACUAGGCAAAAUGGUGCCGUAACUUCGGGAGAAGGCACGCUGAUAUGUAGGUGAAGUCCCUCGCGGAUGGAGCUGAAAUCAGUCGAAGAUACCAGCUGGCUGCAACUGUUUAUUAAAAACACAGCACUGUGCAAACACGAAAGUGGACGUAUACGGUGUGACGCCUGCCCGGUGCCGGAAGGUUAAUUGAUGGGGUCAGCGCAAGCGAAGCUCUUGAUCGAAGCCCCGGUAAACGGCGGCCGUAACUAUAACGGUCCUAAGGUAGCGAAAUUCCUUGUCGGGUAAGUUCCGACCUGCACGAAUGGCGUAAUGAUGGCCAGGCUGUCUCCACCCGAGACUCAGUGAAAUUGAACUCGCUGUGAAGAUGCAGUGUACCCGCGGCAAGACGGAAAGACCCCGUGAACCUUUACUAUAGCUUGACACUGAACAUUGAGCCUUGAUGUGUAGGAUAGGUGGGAGGCUUUGAAGUGUGGACGCCAGUCUGCAUGGAGCCGACCUUGAAAUACCACCCUUUAAUGUUUGAUGUUCUAACGUGGACCCGUGAUCCGGGUUGCGGACAGUGUCUGGUGGGUAGUUUGACUGGGGCGGUCUCCUCCUAAAGAGUAACGGAGGAGCACGAAGGUUGGCUAAUCCUGGUCGGACAUCAGGAGGUUAGUGCAAUGGCAUAAGCCAGCUUGACUGCGAGCGUGACGGCGCGAGCAGGUGCGAAAGCAGGUCAUAGUGAUCCGGUGGUUCUGAAUGGAAGGGCCAUCGCUCAACGGAUAAAAGGUACUCCGGGGAUAACAGGCUGAUACCGCCCAAGAGUUCAUAUCGACGGCGGUGUUUGGCACCUCGAUGUCGGCUCAUCACAUCCUGGGGCUGAAGUAGGUCCCAAGGGUAUGGCUGUUCGCCAUUUAAAGUGGUACGCGAGCUGGGUUUAGAACGUCGUGAGACAGUUCGGUCCCUAUCUGCCGUGGGCGCUGGAGAACUGGAGGGGGGCUGCUCCUAGUACGAGAGGACCGGAGUGGACGCAUCACUGGUGUUCGGGUUGUCAUGCCAAUGGCACUGCCCGGUAGCUAAAUGCGGAAGAGAUAAGUGCUGAAAGCAUCUAAGCACGAAACUUGCCCCGAGAUGAGUUCUCCCUGACCCUUUAAGGGUCCUGAAGGAACGUUGAAGACGACGACGUUGAUAGGCCGGGUGUGUAAGCGCAGCGAUGCGUUGAGCUAACCGGUACUAAUGAACCGUGAGGCUUAACCUU